GGAAAGAUGCCAGAGUGAUCGAUCGGGACGGACUCGAAAUCCGUUGUACGGCUUUGCUGUACCGUGGGUUUGAAUCCCACUCUUUCCG
RNAcentral lists this transfer RNA (88 nucleotides) under Bacteroides sp. RNAcentral's name for it is "tRNA-Ser". It matches the Rfam family "tRNA". From Rfam's summary of the family: Transfer RNA (tRNA) molecules are approximately 80 nucleotides in length. Their secondary structure includes four short double-helical elements and three loops (D, anti-codon, and T loops). Further hydrogen bonds mediate the characteristic L-shaped molecular structure. tRNAs have two regions of fundamental functional importance: the anti-codon, which is responsible for specific mRNA codon recognition, and the 3' end, to which the tRNAs corresponding amino acid is attached (by aminoacyl-tRNA synthetases). tRNAs cope with the degeneracy of the genetic code in two manners: having more than one tRNA (with a specific anti-codon) for a particular amino acid; and 'wobble' base-pairing, i.e. permitting non-standard base-pairing at the 3rd anti-codon position. RNAcentral also lists the same sequence under 3 other names. The record is from RNAcentral. Lineage: Bacteria; Pseudomonadati; Bacteroidota; Bacteroidia; Bacteroidales; Bacteroidaceae.